This 468-nucleotide ribosomal RNA is filed under the name uncultured bacterium. RNAcentral's name for it is "partial 16S ribosomal RNA". It matches the Rfam family "Bacterial small subunit ribosomal RNA", at positions 28 to 507 of the family's 1533-position model. The record is from RNAcentral.
GACGAACGCUGGCGGCGUGCUUAACACAUGCAAGUCGAACGGACAGGUCCUGCUUUUGCGGGGUGCUCGAGUGGCGAACGGGUGAGUAACACGUGAGUAACCUGCCCUUGACUUUGGGAUAACUUCAGGGAACUGGGGCUAAUACCGGAUAGGAGCUCCUGCUGCAUGGUGGGGGUUGGAAAGUUUCGGCGGUUGGGGAUGGACUCGCGGCUUAUCAGCUUGUUGGUGGGGUAGUGGCUUACGAAGGCUUUGACGGGUAGCCGGCCUGAGAGGGUGACCGGCCACAUUGGGACUGAGAUACGGACCAGACUCCUACGGGAGGCAGCAGUGGGGAAUAUUGCACAAUGGGCGGAAGCGUGAUGCAGCAACGCCGCGUGCGGGAUGACGGCCUUCGGGUUGUAAACCGAUUUCGCCUGUGACGAAGCGUGAGUGACGGUAAUGGGUAAAGAAGCACCGGCUAACUACGUG